GACGAACGCUGGCGGCGUGCCUAAUACAUGCAAGUAGAACGCCGAAGGAGGAGCUUGCUUCUCCGGAUGAGUUGCGAACGGGUGAGUAACGCGUAGGUAACUUGCCUGGUAGCGGGGGAUAACUAUUGGAAACGAUAGCUAAUACCGCAUAAUAGUAGAUGUUACAUGUCAUUUGCUUAAAAGGUGCAAUUGCAUCACUACCAGAUGGACCUGCGUUGUAUUAGCUAGUUGGUGGGGUAACGGCUCACCAAGGCGACGAUACAUAGCCGACCUGAGAGGGUGAUCGGCCACACUGGGACUGAGACACGGCCCAGACUCCUACGGGAGGCAGCAGUAGGGGAUCUUCGGCAAUGGACGGAAGUCUGACCGAGCAACGCCGCGUGAGUGAAGAAGGUUUUCGGAUCGUAAAGCUCUGUUGUAAGAGAAGAACGAGUGUGAGAGUGGAAAGUUCACACUGUGACGGUAUCUUACCAGAAAGGGACGGCUAACUACGUGCCAGCAGCCGCGGUAAUACGUAGGUCCCGAGCGUUGUCCGGAUUUAUUGGGCGUAAAGCGCGCGCAGGCGGAUCAGUCAGUCUGUCUUAAAAGUUCGGGGCUUAACCCCGUGAUGGGAUGGAAACUGCUGAUCUAGAGUAUCGGAGAGGAAAGUGGAAUUCCUAGUGUAGCGGUGAAAUGCGUAGAUAUUAGGAAGAACACCAGUGGCGAAGGCGACUUUCUGGACGAAAACUGACGCUGAGGCGCGAAAGCCAGGGGAGCGAACGGGGUUAGAUACCCCGGUAGUCCUGGCCGUAAACGAUGGGUACUAGGUGUAGGAGGUAUCGACCCCUUCUGUGCCGGAGUUAACGCAAUAAGUACCCCGCCCGGGGAGUACGACCGCAAGGUUGAAACUCAAAGGAAUUGACGGGGGCCCGCACAAGCGGUGGAGUAUGUGGUUUAAUUCGACGCAACGCGAAGAACCUUACCAGGUCUUGACAUUGACGGACAGAACUAGAGAUAGUUCCUCUUCUUCGGAAGCCAGAAAACAGGUGGUGCACGGUUGUCGUCAGCUCGUGUCGUGAGAUGUUGGGUUAAGUCCCGCAACGAGCGCAACCCCUAUCUUAUGUUGCCAGCACUUCGGGUGGGAACUCAUGAGAGACUGCCGCAGACAAUGCGGAGGAAGGCGGGGAUGACGUCAAAUCAUCAUGCCCCUUAUGACCUGGGCUACACACGUACUACAAUGGGAGUUAAUAGACGGGAGCGAGAUCGCGAGAUGGAGCAAACCCGAGAAACACUCUCUCAGUUCGGAUCGUAGGCUGCAACUCGCCUACGUGAAGUCGGAAUCGCUAGUAAUCGCAGGUCAGCAUACUGCGGUGAAUACGUUCCCGGGCCU
RNAcentral lists this ribosomal RNA (1369 nucleotides) under uncultured bacterium. RNAcentral describes it as "partial 16S ribosomal RNA". It matches the Rfam family "Bacterial small subunit ribosomal RNA", at positions 28 to 1381 of the family's 1533-position model. The record is from RNAcentral.